UAUAUAUUCCUCUGUCCGAAAAUACUUGUCAUCAAAAUGGACAAAAAAGGAUGUAUCUAGAACUAAAAUACAUCUAGAUACAUUCCCUUUUAUUCAUUUUGAUGACAAGUAUUUCCGAACGGAGGGAGUACCUU
Molecule: non-coding RNA, 134 nt
Organism: Triticum aestivum (bread wheat)
Lineage: Eukaryota; Viridiplantae; Streptophyta; Magnoliopsida; Poales; Poaceae
Source: Rfam